GCUAAUCUCAGCUACCAAAGAAGCUGAGGCUAAUUGAUCUCUUGAGUUUGGGAAUUCCAAGCUACAGUGUAUAUGCUAAUCAGGUAUCCUCCCUAAGUUAAGCAUUGAUAUGGUGGGCCCCAAGGAAUAGGGGGCCACCAAAUUUCCUAAGAAGAGUGAACUGGCCCAGGCUGUAAACAGAACAAGUCAAAGCUCCCAUGCAGAUCUGUAGUGAGAUUGGAACUAUGAGUAGUUCCUGUCUCUAGUCUGAAUACAUAUACACAGUCACCUCAU
This 273-nucleotide signal recognition particle RNA is filed under the name Phascolarctos cinereus (koala). RNAcentral describes it as "Metazoan signal recognition particle RNA (ENSPCIG00000037061.1)". It matches the Rfam family "Metazoan signal recognition particle RNA". Rfam says of the family: The signal recognition particle (SRP) is a universally conserved ribonucleoprotein. It is involved in the co-translational targeting of proteins to membranes. The eukaryotic SRP consists of a 300-nucleotide 7S RNA and six proteins: SRPs 72, 68, 54, 19, 14, and 9. Lineage: Eukaryota; Metazoa; Chordata; Mammalia; Diprotodontia; Phascolarctidae. The record is from Rfam by way of RNAcentral.